UACGUAGGGGGCUAGCGUUGUCCGGAAUCAUUGGGCGUAAAGCGCGUGUAGGCGGCCCGGUAAGUCCGCUGUGAAAGUCGGGGGCUCAACCCUCGGAUGCCGGUGGAUACUGUCGGGCUCGAGUACGGAAGAGGCGAGUGGAAUUCCUGGUGUAGCGGUGAAAUGCGCAGAUAUCAGGAGGAACACCGAUUGCGAAGGCAGCUCGCUGGGACGUUACUGACGCUGAGACGCGAAAGCGUGGGUAGCAAACAGG
RNAcentral lists this ribosomal RNA (253 nucleotides) under uncultured bacterium. RNAcentral describes it as "partial 16S ribosomal RNA". It matches the Rfam family "Bacterial small subunit ribosomal RNA", at positions 524 to 776 of the family's 1533-position model. The record is from RNAcentral.